Molecule: long non-coding RNA, 1017 nt
Organism: Papaver somniferum (opium poppy)
Lineage: Eukaryota; Viridiplantae; Streptophyta; Magnoliopsida; Ranunculales; Papaveraceae
Exons: 4
Source: RefSeq, a predicted model, not a curated record
CAGGUAUUACUUUGUUUCACAGAAGAAAAAAAAGUAUAGAAAACCUUUCAUUCUGGAUCAUCUUAAUGAUGUUUUUUGCGACCGCAUAGAUGGUACUGAUGAGCUUGGUAACAUUACUCAUAAACUUAGUUCACUCAUUUUCUCGUUUCAAGAGCUAUCUCAUCCAAGUAGGGCUGCAAGUAAUGAUAGAAAGUCAAGUCAUCCCAUGGCUGCUGUACUGGUGGAUUACGAAGGUUCAAACUCUAUUAAACCAGUCCCUCAGGUCAUGGUAACACAGACGAAGAACUGCUUUUCUAAAGGAGCUUAAUUUAUACAAAUGGACAUCAGCUGCGUACAAGACACUAACCUCUUUUUCAAACUUUUCGUGUUGAUGGAGGACAUGGUACUAUCUUACAUAAUGCAGUGGCUCAAGAUGACUUUGGGGUGCUUGGGGUGUUGACAUACAUACCCAACAUUCAAACAAGGAAAAAAGAUGACGAGAAGCAGCAGAAGAUGCCUGAACUAAAUCAGUUAUACAUAAUGCAGUAGCUCAAGAUGUCCAAAGUUAUAUGUCAUAAUCCACUUGUAGGUGGUGAUUACUGUGAACAAAAUCAGUGGAUGAGAUGUUCGUCUCAAUGGGUUUAUGAAGAUGGUAGUGCUGUUUAAACAUGGAAGAAGAACAAGUCUGUGUUGCAGCUGAAUUGAAAUGACAAUGGUGUUGAUGUAGCUGUUGCAGUUGUGGUUUAAGCUAAGAAGAUUGUGAUGCAGCAAGAUAGAAGAUUACUGAGAAGAUGGAGCUGAAGGCAGUGGUGAAUGGUUGGCUGCAGAGGUGCUGGUGCUGCAAUAAAGUAAAGUGAAUUGAGGAGUACUCAGAUUCCUAAGUAGUGUAGCAGAUAUGUACUCAUAUUUGUAAGCAGUGUGGCAGAUAUGUACUCAAAUUUGUAAACAGUGUAGCAGAUAUGUACUCAAAUCUAUGGUCCUUUAUAUGUUUUAAUUAAAUUUGGACCUCCAGAUAAAUAAAAUCCCGAUUUGGUAGAA